This 308-nucleotide ribosomal RNA is filed under the name uncultured Thalassomonas sp. RNAcentral describes it as "bacterial SSU rRNA". It matches the Rfam family "Bacterial small subunit ribosomal RNA", at positions 30 to 334 of the family's 1533-position model. The record is from RNAcentral. Lineage: Bacteria; Pseudomonadati; Pseudomonadota; Gammaproteobacteria; Alteromonadales; Colwelliaceae.
AUUGAACGCUGGCGGCAGGCUUAACACAUGCAAGUCGAGCGGAAACGAGAAUAGCUUGCUAUUCGGCGUCGAGCGGCGGACGGGUGAGUAAUGCUUGGGAAUAUGCCUUGAGGUGGGGGACAACAGUUGGAAACGACUGCUAAUACCGCAUAAUGUCUACGGACCAAAGGAGGGGAUCUUCGGACCUUUCGCCUUUAGAUUAGCCCAAGUGAGAUUAGCUAGAUGGUGGGGUAAUGGCCUACCAUGGCGACGAUCUCUAGCUGGUUUGAGAGGAUGAUCAGCCACACUGGGACUGAGACACGGCCCAG